AGUGAACGCUGGCGGUAGGCCUAACACAUGCAAGUCGAACGGCAGCACAGUAAGAGCUUGCUCUUACGGGUGGCGAGUGGCGGACGGGUGAGGAAUACAUCGGAAUCUACUUUUUCGUGGGGGAUAACGUAGGGAAACUUACGCUAAUACCGCAUACGACCUACGGGUGAAAGCAGGGGAUCUUCGGACCUUGCGCGAUUGAAUGAGCCGAUGUCGGAUUAGCUAGUUGGCGGGGUAAAGGCCCACCAAGGCGACGAUCCGUAGCUGGUCUGAGAGGAUGACCAGCCACACCGAAACUGAAACAGGGUCCAGACCCCAAGGGGAGGCAGCUGGGGGAAAUAUUGAAAAAGGGGCCCAAGCUUAGCCCAGCAAUGCCGCGUGGGUGAAGAAGGCCUUCGGUUUGUAAAGCCCUUUUUUUGGAAAAAAAAAGAAGCAGGUUAAAACCCCGCUUUUCUAGCGGAACCAAAAAAAAAAGCACCGGCUAACUUCGU
RNAcentral lists this ribosomal RNA (491 nucleotides) under uncultured bacterium. RNAcentral's name for it is "partial 16S ribosomal RNA". It matches the Rfam family "Bacterial small subunit ribosomal RNA", at positions 29 to 506 of the family's 1533-position model. The record is from RNAcentral.